Molecule: ribosomal RNA, 253 nt
Filed under: uncultured bacterium
Lineage: Bacteria
Description: partial 16S ribosomal RNA
Rfam family: Bacterial small subunit ribosomal RNA
Source: RNAcentral
UACGUAGGUGGCAAGCGUUAUCCGGAUUUACUGGGUGUAAAGGGCGUGUAGGCGGGAAAGCAAGUCAGAUGUGAAAACCACGGGCUCAACCUGUGGCCUGCGUUUGAAACUGUUUUUCUUGAGUACUGGAGAGGCAGACGGAAUUCCUCGUGUAGCGGUGAAAUGCGUAGAUAUGAGGUGGAACACCAGUGGCGAAGGCGGUCUGCUGGACAGCAACUGACGCUGAGGCGCGAAAGCGUGGGGAGCAAACAGG